GGUGCCCGGGAAGAAACACCCCCAGGCGCCGAGGUGACAGGCUGCGACACAGACAAAACGCACAUCGGGCCUGCAGGGGACAGCAGGAGCUGGGGCCACCCGCUCUCCACAGUGCUCCCAGAACAAGGACAAGGGUCCCAGAGGGAGGCAGAGACACCACAGCACUGAAGCUUCUAGUGCAGCGGAGAACAGGCUUGAACCCGAGUCACACACGGCAAAGCAGCGCAAGGUCCAGGCUUAACUGGAGGACCGUCCCAGAAAGCACAGUGAGAAAUCACAGCUUACAGCCCAAGCUGACAUGAAGAAUGAGAGAGCUGAAACUUCUCCCAGUUCUGCUACAAGCUCUUUGUCAACCGAAUUAUGAGAGCCCUGCUCGGCACUGGCUGAUGGUGGGGCUGGGAAUUGAACCUAGGACCUCAGCACUUCAGGCAGGAGAGUCUUCUCCAGAGCCACUGUGCCGUCUCCCCUGCCCAAACCUCUGGGCUCUUUUCUGGUGCUUCCAUGAAAUGUAGCUGUUGGACACAGAUACACAUCUGAUCAGUGCUGCAUCAUGGUGAGUCAGGACCCAGAGAACUCCAGGUAUGAGAGUCUCUUUGUAUCAGCCUUAUGAUUUUACCCCUGCCCACCUCACUCUCUCUGUAUCUCUAGCUUUCAUUACUAAACAUCAGAAGAAAAUAACAUAUGAAAAAUAUAUUAAAUAAAAAGGGGAGCUUGGGUGAAAGUGACUGUCUUGUAGUUAUCAUCUUUUCUCCUUAAACCCAUCUCAUUAGUCAGAAUAGUAACAAAGUUAAGUAAAAAUAUUUUAAAACAAAUUCCUUGGCUGUGAGACAGUUUCAUAGGUACCAUCAUUCUGUCUGUCUGUCUGUCUGUCUCUCUCACACACACACAUUCUGUCUCUCCAUAGCUAAAUAUAAUA
Molecule: long non-coding RNA, 916 nt
Organism: Erinaceus europaeus (western European hedgehog)
Lineage: Eukaryota; Metazoa; Chordata; Mammalia; Eulipotyphla; Erinaceidae
Exons: 5
Source: RefSeq, a predicted model, not a curated record